Long non-coding RNA from Salvia splendens (bonfire salvia), 999 nucleotides. RefSeq lists it as uncharacterized. The transcript is spliced from 4 exons. The record is from RefSeq and is a predicted model, not a curated record. Lineage: Eukaryota; Viridiplantae; Streptophyta; Magnoliopsida; Lamiales; Lamiaceae.
UAUACCCCUUUGACAAAAUUCUCACACCCCAAAACGGGCUUAUUACCCACUCCCCCAUUUUUCAUUUCCCCAAAAUCGACGGAGAAUCACAAGAGCCCUAAAUUCCUCACUACCCGCUUCUCCAACACCAGUGACGUGCCUGAUCUCGCUACGUCAAUCAACGGUAGUGAGUGAGGUUUGUUCAGCAAUUGGAUUUCGAUACCGGAUGAGUAGAAUCUUCUACAAUUUCGUGAGCAAAGCGCAAGAAGGGACUACACACUUGUGACUCUAACGGCUCAAAUUCAUCAGACAAGCUCAGCCGCAGUCCGCCUCGUCUCAUCUCCAGAAGCGAAUUUACAUCACCUAUCUUUCGAAGCGAGCUUUGACUGACUUAAUCCCCAGUUGUUAUUUAGUCGACCAACGCAGAAAUAAUUAUGCCAACACGUCAUACAAAUCACGCUCGUUUGUGCCUGAUGCUCGAGAAUAUUAUGUUGCUAUAUCGAGUUGAGACGACGACUCUUAUUCAUCGAUAUCUGCGCACACGUUCUACACGGAAAAAAUGGAGGAUUGUUGAGCAUGCUCAUCGGUUAAGCGUAUUGAACAAGAUCCCAGUACAGUUGCAGCGCUUGAAUCGCCUACUGCAUGUGUCAAAUGCAGAUUGCGUCUCCAAUCUGCGUAUGGACCGUAACACGUUCGGUCGACUAUGUCGUAUACUCAGUGAGCGUGGGGGUCUGAAGAUGGGAAAAUGCGUUGGGGUGGAAGAACACGUAGCUAUAUUUGUGUCAGUCUUAGCGCACCAUAGGAAAAACCGUAGUUUGGGGUUUAGUUUCUGGCGUUCGGGUGGCACUAUUUCUUAUUAUGUGCAUAGAGUUUUAUGUGCUGUAGUCAAUUUACACUCUGUCCUCCUAGCGAAGCCCAUACCUGUCCCCGAUGAUUGCACGGACCACCGUUGGAGAUGUUUUAAGGGAUGUCUAGGUGCCCUUGAUGGUACCCACAUCAACGUGUUAGUGAGUAAUAAAG